This 492-nucleotide ribosomal RNA is filed under the name uncultured bacterium. RNAcentral describes it as "partial 16S ribosomal RNA". It matches the Rfam family "Bacterial small subunit ribosomal RNA", at positions 29 to 507 of the family's 1533-position model. The record is from RNAcentral.
AGUGAACGCUGGCGGUAGGCCUAACACAUGCAAGUCGAACGGCAGCACAGUAAGAGCUUGCUCUUACGGGUGGCGAGUGGCGGACGGGUGAGGAAUACAUCGGAAUCUACUUUUUCGUGGGGGAUAACGUAGGGAAACUUACGCUAAUACCGCAUACGACCUACGGGUGAAAGCAGGGGAUCUUCGGACCUUGCGCGAUUGAAUGAGCCGAUGUCGGAUUAGCUAGUUGGCGGGGUAAAGGCCCACCAAGGCGACGAUCCGUAGCUGGUCUGAGAGGAUGAUCAGCCACACUGGAACUGAGACACGGUCCAGACUCCUACGGGAGGCAGCAGUGGGGAAUAUUGGACAAUGGGCGCAAGCCCGAUCCAGCCAUACCGCGUGGGUGAAGAAGGCCUUCGGGUUGUAAAGCCCUUUUGUUGGGAAAGAAAAGCAGCAGGUUAAUACCCCGCUGCUCUGACGGUACCCAAAGAAUAAGCACCGGCUAACUUCGUG